AGCGAACGCUGGCGGCAGGCCUAACACAUGCAAGUCGAACGAACCUUUCGGGGUUAGUGGCGGACGGGUGAGUAACACGUGGGAACGUGCCUUUAGGUUCGGAAUAACUCAGGGAAACUUGUGCUAAUACCGAAUGUGCCCUUCGGGGGAAAGAUUAAUCGCCUUUUGAUCGGCCCGCGUCUGAUUAGCUAGUUGGUUGAGGUAAUGGCUCACCAAGGCGACGAUCAGUAGCUGGUCUGAGAGGAUGAUCAGCCACAUUGGGACUGAGACACGGACCAAAAUCCUACGGGAGGCAGCAGUGGGGAAUCUUGCGCAAUGGGCGAAAGCCUGACGCAGCCAUGCCGCGUGAAUGAUGAAGGUCUUAGGAUUGUAAAAUUCUUUCACCGGGGACGAUAAUGACGGUACCCGGAGAAGAAGCCCCGGCUAACUUCGUG
This 434-nucleotide ribosomal RNA is filed under the name uncultured bacterium. RNAcentral's name for it is "partial 16S ribosomal RNA". It matches the Rfam family "Bacterial small subunit ribosomal RNA", at positions 29 to 507 of the family's 1533-position model. The record is from RNAcentral.